Molecule: ribosomal RNA, 497 nt
Filed under: uncultured bacterium
Lineage: Bacteria
Description: partial 16S ribosomal RNA
Rfam family: Bacterial small subunit ribosomal RNA
Source: RNAcentral
GAUGAACGCUGGCGGCGUGCCUAAUACAUGCAAGUCGAGCGAACAGACGAGGAGCUUGCUCCUUUGACGUUAGCGGCGGACGGGUGAGUAACACGUAGGUAACCCACCUAUAAGACUGGGAUAACUUCGGGAAACCGGAGCUAACACCGGAUAAUAUUUCGAACCGCAUGGUUCGAUAGUGAAAGAUGGCUUUGCUAUCACUUAUAGAUGGACCUGCGCCGUAUUAGCUAGUUGGUAAGGUAACGGCUUAUCAAGGCAACGAUUCGUAGGCGAAGUGAGAGAGGGAUCGGCCACACUGGAGGUGGACCGCGGUCCAGGCUCCUAAGGGAGGGAGCAGUAGGCAAUCUGCCGCAAUGGGCGAGAGCCUGACAGAACAACGCCACGUGAGUGAUGGAGGUCUUCGGAUCGUAAAGCUCUGUUAUUAGGGAAAAACAACCGUGUCAGUAACUGUGCACGUAGUGACGGUACCUAAUCAAGAAGCCACGGCUAACUACGUG